GAUGAACGCUGGCGGCGUGCCUAAUACAUGCAAGUCGAGCGAACAGACGAGGAGCUUGCUCCUCUGACGUUAGCGGCGGACGGGUGAGUAACACGUGGAUAACCUACCUAUAAGACUGGGAUAACUUCGGGAAACCGGAUCUAAUACCGGAUAAUAUAUUGAACCGCAUGGUUCAAUAGUGAAAGACGGUUUUGCUGUCACUUAUAGAUGGAUCCGCGCCGCAUUAGCUAGUUGGUAAGGUAACGGCUUACCAAGGCGACGAUGCGUAGCCGACCUGAGAGGGUGAUCGGCCACACUGGAACUGAGACACGGUCCAGACUCCUACGGGAGGCAGCAGUAGGGAAUCUUCCGCAAUGGGCGAAAGCCUGACGGAGCAACGCCGCGCGAGUGAUGAAGGUCUUCGGAUCGUAAAACUCUGUUAUUAGGGAAGAACAAAUGUGUAAGUAACUAUGCACGUCUUGACGGUACCUAAUCAGAAAGCCACGGCUAACUACGUG
Molecule: ribosomal RNA, 497 nt
Filed under: uncultured bacterium
Lineage: Bacteria
Description: partial 16S ribosomal RNA
Rfam family: Bacterial small subunit ribosomal RNA
Source: RNAcentral